Triticum aestivum (bread wheat) is the source of this 174-nucleotide non-coding RNA. The record is from Rfam. Lineage: Eukaryota; Viridiplantae; Streptophyta; Magnoliopsida; Poales; Poaceae.
GGAGUACUUCUUUCGUCUGAAAAUACUUGUCAUCAAAAUGAUAAAAAGGGAUGUAUCUAGAACUAAAAUAUGUCUAGAUACAUCUUUUUUUAUUCCUAGAUACAUCCCUUAGUUUAGAUACAUCCCUUUUUAUUCAUUUUGAUGACAAGUAUUUUCGAACGAAGGGAGUAUCUC